Molecule: transfer RNA, 85 nt
Filed under: Rhizobacter sp.
Lineage: Bacteria; Pseudomonadati; Pseudomonadota; Betaproteobacteria; Burkholderiales; Sphaerotilaceae
Also listed under: 1 other name
Description: tRNA-Leu
Rfam family: tRNA
About the family: Transfer RNA (tRNA) molecules are approximately 80 nucleotides in length. Their secondary structure includes four short double-helical elements and three loops (D, anti-codon, and T loops).
Source: RNAcentral
GCCUCUGUGGCGGAAUUGGUAGACGCGCCGGACUCAAAAUCCGGUUCUUAACGGAGUGUCGGUUCGAUUCCGACCGGAGGCACCA